AUCAACGCGUUAUACAAUCUAAUCUGCAACCACCAAAAUGAAGACUAUCUCUCUCAUUUGCUGCAUUCUCCUGGCUUUCCUUCUUUUCUCUUCCCCUUCAAUUAUGGCUCGUGAAUUGGCUGCUCAUCAUGAUCAUGAGGCCGAUGGAAAAUCGUGCGGAAGCCCGAAUGAUCCCCAAUAUGAUACUUGCAUAGGGAAACAGAAGACCAAGCCCUGCUCAAAAGCAACUUAUACGCGUUGCGAUCGGCCACCGGCUCAAGGCUAGGAACAACUUGAAUAAGCACAGCUUUUAAUGGUGUAAUGAAAUUAGUAUGAUUAAAAUAAUAAAAGUUAUAAGUACUACUGGCAUUAACGAUACUUCUCAUGAUCAUGAUGAUGAUCGAUGAUCAUGAGAAGAACGUAUCAUGUACGUACAAGUUUGAGAAUAAAUAGGGUUUAGUUCGAUACCGUAUCAUCAUGUAAUGCAUGGAUCCGCUCGAUCGAACUUCCUUUGCAGUGUGUCAAUAAAAUUAAGAAUGUCUGACCGACUUAGUUUUGGUCAGCUAGCUUGUUUAAUUUCU
Long non-coding RNA from Juglans regia (Persian walnut), 560 nucleotides. RefSeq lists it as uncharacterized. The transcript is spliced from 2 exons. The record is from RefSeq and is a predicted model, not a curated record. Lineage: Eukaryota; Viridiplantae; Streptophyta; Magnoliopsida; Fagales; Juglandaceae.